AGUGAACGCUGGCGGUAGGCCUAACACAUGCAAGUCGAACGGCAGCACAGUAAGAGCUUGCUCUUACGGGUGGCGAGUGCGGACGGGUGAGGAAUACAUCGGAAUCUACUUUUUCGUGGGGGAUAACGUAGGGAAACUUACGCUAAUACCGCAUACGACCUACGGGUGAAAGCAGGGGAUCUUCGGACCUUGCGCGAUUGAAUGAGCCGAUGUCGGAUUAGCUAGUUGGCGGGGUAAAGGCCCACCAAGGCGACGAUCCGUAGCUGGUCUGCGAGGAUGAUCAGCCACACUGGAACUGAGACACGGUCCAGACUCCUACGGGAGGCAGCAGUGGGGAAUAUGGGACAAUGGGCGCAAGCCUGAUGAAGCCAUACCGCGUGGGUGAAGAAGGCCUUCGGGUUGUAAAGCCCUUUUGUUGGGAAAGAAAAGCAGCAGGUUAAUACCCCGCUGUUCUGACGGUACCCAAAGAAUAAGCACCGGCUAACUUCGUG
RNAcentral lists this ribosomal RNA (491 nucleotides) under uncultured bacterium. RNAcentral's name for it is "partial 16S ribosomal RNA". It matches the Rfam family "Bacterial small subunit ribosomal RNA", at positions 29 to 507 of the family's 1533-position model. The record is from RNAcentral.